UAGUCCACGCCGUAAACGAUGGAUACUAGUUGUUGGGAUUUAUCUCAGUGACUAAGCGAAAGUGAUAAGUAUCCCACCUGGGGAGUACGUUCGCAAGAAUGAAACUCAAAGGAAUUGACGGGGCCCGCACAAGCGGUGGAGCAUGUGGUUUAAUUCGAUGAUACGCGAGGAACCUUACCAGGGCUUAAAUGUAAGUUGCAUGAUCUAGAGAUAGGUCUUUCUUCGGACUACUUACAAGGUGCUGCACGGUCGUCGUCAGCUCGUGCCGUGAGGUGUCAGGUUAAGUCCUAUAACGAGCGCAACCCCUAUCGUUAGUUGCUAACAGGUUAAGCUGAGGACUCUAGCGAGACUGCCGGUGCAAACCGUGAGGAAGGUGGGGAUGACGUCAAAUCAUCACGGCCCUUACGGUCCUGGGGCUACACACGUGCUACAAUGGGUCGGUACAGAGGGGCAGCCACUACGCGAGUAGGGCGCGGAAUCCCUUAAAACCGGNUCUCAGUUCGGGAUCGGGAGUCUGGCAAC
This 522-nucleotide ribosomal RNA is filed under the name uncultured bacterium. RNAcentral's name for it is "bacterial SSU rRNA". It matches the Rfam family "Bacterial small subunit ribosomal RNA", at positions 791 to 1311 of the family's 1533-position model. The record is from RNAcentral.